RNAcentral lists this non-coding RNA (175 nucleotides) under Candidatus Cloacimonetes bacterium HGW-Cloacimonetes-1. Its description in RNAcentral is "6S RNA". It matches the Rfam family "6S / SsrS RNA". Rfam says of the family: E. coli 6S RNA was the first non coding RNA to be sequenced, but its function was unknown until recently. The record is from RNAcentral. Lineage: Bacteria; Pseudomonadati; Candidatus Cloacimonadota.
AUAUCCCUGCAGGAUUUGUGAUAUGUAUUGUUAUAAAGCUAUCAAAAUAUCGGGAGUCAAGCCAUUUGUGGCGUGCAUGCCGAACUCGUUUCGGAUCCAUAAAGCUUAUAAGGUAGAUACCCACCUUAAUAUUCGGCUUUACUUGUCAAGCAUACACGGUCACUGCGGGGAUUUA